This 441-nucleotide ribosomal RNA is filed under the name uncultured bacterium. RNAcentral's name for it is "partial 16S ribosomal RNA". It matches the Rfam family "Bacterial small subunit ribosomal RNA", at positions 338 to 795 of the family's 1533-position model. The record is from RNAcentral.
CCUACGGGGGGCAGCAGUGGGGAAUAUUGCACAAUGGGGGAAACCCUGAUGCAGCGACGCCGCGUGAGUGAAGAAGUAUUUCGGUACGUAAAGCUCUAUCAGCAGGGAAGAAGAAAGAGGGUACCUGACUAAGAAGCCCCGGCUAACGACGUGCCAGCAGCCGCGGUAAUACGUAGGGGGCAAGCGUUAUCCGGAUUUACUGGGUGUAAAGGGAGCGUAGACGGCUGUGCAAGUCUGAAGUGAAAGCCCAGGGCGCAACCCUGGGACUGCUUUGGAAACUGUGGAGCUAGAGUGCUGGAGAGGUAAGUGGAAUUCCUAGUGUAGCGGUGAAAUGCGUAGAUAUUAGGAGGAACACCAGUGGCGAAGGCGGCUUACUGGACAGUGACUGACGUUGAGGCUCGAAGGCGUGGGGAGCAAACAGGAUUAGAUACCCGGGUAGUC